This 1026-nucleotide long non-coding RNA is filed under the name Homo sapiens (human). RNAcentral's name for it is "HSALNT0086826". Lineage: Eukaryota; Metazoa; Chordata; Mammalia; Primates; Hominidae. The record is from RNAcentral.
CUGGGACCCACAGGAAUUCCCUCCCUUCAGUCCCGGGGGGAGGCGGCCGCGAUCCUGGGGGAGGCGCAGCCUCACAACCCGGACUUUGCGGGCGGGCGGGCACUGGUGAGAAGAGGAAGUGGGAGAGGCCUGGGAAGGAAACUUGGAAACCGAAAACUCGGCGGCCGAGGCUCCGUGCCCCGCGCGCAGCGCUGCUCCUGCCCCGGCCAAGGACGCACGGGCCAGCCGGCGGAACCAGAGGUUUUCAGUGAUGUUGAGAGUCAACAGGAAAUUAAUCAGCAAGUAGAAAAUUGAAAGAAGAUCUGCAUCUUACUGCAGGAGUCAUUAAAAUAAAAGCAGAUUUGGCAAAAUGGCAAGAACCAGAGGAUGAGGAUGUAAAACAAAAACUUUUGGAGUCAUUUUGCCACCAGGAUGAAAAUAGGAUGAAGCUGACAUGACAAAGGUGCAGACAUGGCAGAGGAGACACAGCAAUAACUAAGGGGCAACUAUUGCAUCCAGAAAAAAAAAAAAUGAAGAUAAUGACUUCUCUGCAACUAAGAUGAAGAUCCACUGAACUUUGGGGUUUGAAAUGCAACGUUAGAACUUCAGACUCCCGGCACCUAGGUCUCCAGCUGCUGGGUGGUGCCAGCAUCAGAGAUACACUCUGCAAAACAUAUACUGUCUUAGGAAAAAGUGACCCUGUUGUCCUUUCAGGCCCAUAUUCCACAAGAAGACAAAUGGAGAUGUAAAAGGAAAACUGCAGCUCCGACUGAAGAGAGAGCAAGUUGUCUGUUCUGAUACAGCCAGGAAAUAAGAUGUUCUGGUUAAUAUGUGCUAAAGAUGUGGUGCUGACUUUCCGACUCAGAAUAUGAUCACAUGUUUUUCUCAUUAAAACUAUAUUGAAUAUUAUUUGACCAUUGUUGAGUCAGUCAUCUUGAUAAAUAUUAUCUUCGUACAGUCCUGAGCAGAGAGUCAGUGACUAGAAUGCCACUGAAACCAGCUUUUUAUAGGACACGGUUUUCAUGGUUUUAGGGCAUGGAGAAACUU